GACGUAGGGGGCAAGCGUUGUCCGGAUUUAUUGGGCGUAAAGAGCUCGUAGGUGGUUCGGUAAGUCGGGUGUUAAACCCCCAGGCUCAACCUGGGGACGCCACUCGAUACUGCUGUGACUAGAGUCCGGUAGGGGAGCGUGGAAUUCCUGGUGUAGCGGUGAAAUGCGCAGAUAUCAGGAGGAACACCAGCGGCGAAGGCGGCGCUCUGGGCCGGUACUGACACUGAGGAGCGAAAGCGUGGGUAGCAAACAGG
RNAcentral lists this ribosomal RNA (254 nucleotides) under uncultured bacterium. RNAcentral's name for it is "partial 16S ribosomal RNA". It matches the Rfam family "Bacterial small subunit ribosomal RNA", at positions 524 to 776 of the family's 1533-position model. The record is from RNAcentral.